RNAcentral lists this ribosomal RNA (605 nucleotides) under Amycolatopsis sp. YIM 65085. RNAcentral's name for it is "bacterial SSU rRNA". It matches the Rfam family "Bacterial small subunit ribosomal RNA", at positions 43 to 661 of the family's 1533-position model. Lineage: Bacteria; Bacillati; Actinomycetota; Actinomycetes; Pseudonocardiales; Pseudonocardiaceae. The record is from RNAcentral.
CCCCCCUGCUUACCAUGCAAGUCGAACGCUGAAGCACUUUCGGGUGUGGAUGAGUGGCGAACGGGUGAGUAACACGUGGGUAAUCUGCCCUGCACUCUGGGAUAAGCCUUGGAAACGGGGUCUAAUACCGGAUAUCACAACUUCAGGCAUCUGGGGUUGUUGAAAGUUCUGGCGGUGCAGGAUGAACCCGCGGCCUAUCAGCUUGUUGGUGGGGUAAUGGCCUACCAAGGCGACGACGGGUAGCCGGCCUGAGAGGGUGACCGGCCACACUGGGACUGAGACACGGCCCAGACUCCUACGGGAGGCAGCAGUGGGGAAUAUUGCACAAUGGGCGCAAGCCUGAUGCAGCGACGCCGCGUGAGGGAUGACGGCCUUCGGGUUGUAAACCUCUUUCGCCAGGGACGAAGCGCAAGUGACGGUACCUGGAUAAGAAGCACCGGCUAACUACGUGCCAGCAGCCGCGGUAAUACGUAGGGUGCGAGCGUUGUCCGGAAUUAUUGGGCGUAAAGAGCUCGUAGGCGGUUUGUCGCGUCGGCCGUGAAAUCUCCACGCUUAACGUGGAGCGUGCGGUCGAUACGGGCAGACUUGAGUUCGGUAGGGGAGAC